This is a non-coding RNA of Caenorhabditis elegans, 100 nucleotides long. Lineage: Eukaryota; Metazoa; Nematoda; Chromadorea; Rhabditida; Rhabditidae. The record is from Ensembl.
AAGUUUAAAGGCGCAUAACUCUCUUAGGAAUUGAGUUAUCGAAAAAUUUUUAACUAACAAAAUGUGCAGAAUUUUAAGGGCUACAAUUCUGUAGUUAACA